AGCUCCAAUAGCGUAUAUUAAAGUUGUUGCGGUUAAAAAGCUCGUAGUUGGAUUUCUGCUGAGUACGACCGGUCCACCCUCUGGGUGAGCAUCUGGCUCGGACUUGGCAUCUUCUUGGGGAACGUUGCUGCACUUGAUUGUGCGGCGCGGUACCCAGGACUUUUACUUGAGGAAAUUAGAGUGUUUCAAGCAGGCACACGCCUUGAAUAUAUUAGCAUGGAAUAAUAAGAUAGGUCUUCGGUUCUAUUUUGUUGGUUUCUAGAGCUGAAGAAAUGAUUAAUAGGGAUAGUUGGGGGCAUUCGUAUUUAACUGUCAGAGGUGAAAUUCUU
RNAcentral lists this ribosomal RNA (329 nucleotides) under uncultured eukaryote. Its description in RNAcentral is "SSU rRNA". It matches the Rfam family "Eukaryotic small subunit ribosomal RNA", at positions 587 to 921 of the family's 1831-position model. The record is from RNAcentral.